CCUACGGGUGGCAGCAGUGGGGAAUAUUGCGCAAUGGGCGAAAGCCUGACGCAGCGACGCCGCGUGAGGGAUGAAGGUCUUCGGAUCGUAAACCUCUGUCAGCAGGGAAGAACGGUCACUGUGCUAAUCAGCAGUGAAUUGACGGUACCUGCAAAGGAAGCACCGGCUAACUCCGUGCCAGCAGCCGCGGUAAUACGGAGGGUGCGAGCGUUAAUCGGAAUUACUGGGCGUAAAGCGCUCGUAGGCGGGAUUUCAAGUCAAGGGGGAAAUCCACGCGCUCAACGUGGGAACUGCCUUUGAAACGGGCAAACUGGAGUGUGUGAGAGGAUAGUGGAAUUCCAGGGGGAGGAGUGAAAUCCGUAGAUAUCUGGAGGAACAUCAGUGGCGAAGGCGACUAUCUGGCACAUAACUGACGCUGAGGAGCGAAAGCGUGGGUAGCAAACAGGAUUAGAUACCCUAGUAGUC
This 465-nucleotide ribosomal RNA is filed under the name uncultured bacterium. Its description in RNAcentral is "partial 16S ribosomal RNA". It matches the Rfam family "Bacterial small subunit ribosomal RNA", at positions 338 to 795 of the family's 1533-position model. The record is from RNAcentral.